This 639-nucleotide long non-coding RNA is filed under the name Rattus norvegicus (Norway rat). RNAcentral's name for it is "long non-coding RNA NONRATT008080". Lineage: Eukaryota; Metazoa; Chordata; Mammalia; Rodentia; Muridae. The record is from RNAcentral.
CAGACCUGGGAGCUUCCCUGCACAUUCCUGAGGGGGAAGCUGUGGUUUGGAGGAAGUGGAACCUUGGCGAGUUACUGAGCAGGAUAGGAGCGAUGCUGCUCACAGACGCCCUCUGCUGUCCACGUGCAGGUCUGACUGCUGCUCCACCCGAGGGUCUUCAGGCAGGGCCAUAGGUGCUGAAAUCCACUCAUUGUCCCAGUCCUACUAUCAGCAGAAACUGCCUGGUGAAUUCCAAGGACCCCAGAUACUGAGGCUCUCUCGAGCAGGGAGGUCCAAGACAUCUAUAAUUGUCCCCAGAGGCUAUUCGAGUGAGACUCCAGAGGAAUCACACCGAAUUGAGAGGGAGAGGCGGGCCUAGGGGAUCCGCAUAGAACUGACUUGGGGGUUUAUUGGCUUUGUGAGUGCCUUGCGUGUGUAUGUGUGUGCACACGCCCCAUGUGCGUGCCUGGUGUCAGGGAGGUCAGAAGAAGGAAUUGGCUCUCCUGGAAUUGGAGUUAUUGCUGGUAUAAGCCAUGUGGGUGCUGGGAACCAGACCUGGGUCCUCUGCAAACGCCGCAAGUGUUCUCGCUGCUGAGCCACGUAUCUAGCCCUCUCUCCACAGAGCUGCUGAGCACUCAGAAAGUUCACAUUUCAGUGUUG